Molecule: ribosomal RNA, 726 nt
Filed under: uncultured bacterium
Lineage: Bacteria
Description: bacterial SSU rRNA
Rfam family: Bacterial small subunit ribosomal RNA
Source: RNAcentral
AGUCGAGCGGCAGCGGAAAGUAGCUUGCUACUUUGCUGGCGAGCGGCGGACGGGUGAGUAAUGUCUGGGAAACUGCCUGAUGGAGGGGGAUAACUACUGGAAACGGUAGCUAAUACCGCAUGACCUCGAAAGAGCAAAGUGGGGGAUCUUCGGACCUCACGCCAUCGGAUGUGCCCAGAUGGGAUUAGCUAGUAGGUGAGGUAAUGGCUCACCUAGGCGACGUUCCCUAGCUGGUCUGAGAGGAUGACCAGCCACACUGGAACUGAGACACGGUCCAGACUCCUACGGGAGGCAGCAGUGGGGAAUAUUGCACAAUGGGCGCAAGCCUGAUGCAGCCAUGCCACGUGUGUGAAGAAGGCCUUAGGGUUGUAAAGCACUUUCAGCGAGGAGGAAGGCAUCACACUUAAUACGUGUGGUGAUUGACGUUACUCGCAGAAGAAGCACCGGCUAACUCCGUGCCAGCAGCCGCGGUAAUACGGAGGGUGCAAGCGUUAAUCGGAAUUACUGGGCGUAAAGCGCACGCAGGCGGUUUGUUAAGUCAGAUGUGAAAUCCCCGCGCUUAACGUGGGAACUGCAUUUGAAACUGGCAAGCUAGAGUCUUGUAGAGGGGGGUAGAAUUCCAGGUGUAGCGGUGAAAUGCGUAGAGAUCUGGAGGAAUACCGGUGGCGAAGGCGGCCCCCUGGACAAAGACUGACGCUCAGGUGCGAAAGCGUGGGGAGCAAACAG